This 466-nucleotide ribosomal RNA is filed under the name uncultured bacterium. RNAcentral describes it as "partial 16S ribosomal RNA". It matches the Rfam family "Bacterial small subunit ribosomal RNA", at positions 29 to 506 of the family's 1533-position model. The record is from RNAcentral.
ACGAACGCUGGCGGCGUGCUUAACACAUGCAAGUCGAACGGAAAGGCCCUGCUUUUGUGGGGUGCUCGAGUGGCGAACGGGUGAGUAACACGUGAGUAACCUGCCCUUGACUUUGGGAUAACUUCAGGAAACUGGGGCUAAUACCGGAUAGGAGCUCCUGCUGCAUGGUGGGGGUUGGAAAGUUUCGGCGGUUGGGGAUGGACUCGCGGCUUAUCAGCUUGUUGGUGGGGUAGUGGCUUACCAAGGCUUUGACGGGUAGCCGGCCUGAGAGGGUGACCGGCAACAUUGGGACUGAGAUACGGCCCAGACUCCUACGGGAGGCAGCAGUGGGGAAUAUUGCACAAUGGGCGGAAGCCUGAUGCAGCAACGCCGCGUGCGGGAUGACGGCCUUCGGGUGGUAAACCGCUUUCGCCUGUGACGAAGCGUGAGUGACGGUAAUGGGUAAAGAAGCACCGGCUAACUACGU